This 468-nucleotide ribosomal RNA is filed under the name uncultured bacterium. Its description in RNAcentral is "partial 16S ribosomal RNA". It matches the Rfam family "Bacterial small subunit ribosomal RNA", at positions 28 to 507 of the family's 1533-position model. The record is from RNAcentral.
GACGAACGCUGGCGGCGUGCUUAACACAUGCAAGUCGAACGGAAAGGCCCUGCUUUUGUGGGGUGCUCGAGUGGCGAACGGGUGAGUAACACGUGAGUAACCUGCCCCUGACUUUGGGAUAUCUUCAGGAAACUGGGGCUCAUACCGGAUAGGAGCUCUUGCUGCAUGGUGGGGGUUGGAAAGUUUCGGCGGUUGGGGAUGGACUCGCGGCUUAUCAGCUUGUUGGUGGGGUAGUGGCUUACCAAGGCUUUGACGGGUAGCCGGCCUGAGAGGAUGACCGGCCACAUUGGGACGGAGAUACGGCCCAGACUCCUACGGGAGGCAGCAGUGGGGAAUAUUGCACAAUGGGCGGAAGCCAGAUGUAGCACCGCCGCGUGCGGGAUGACGGGCUUCGGGUUGUAAACCGCUUUCGCCUGUGACGAAGCGUGAGUGACGGUAAUGGGUAAAGAAGCACCGGCUAACUACGUG